This 460-nucleotide ribosomal RNA is filed under the name uncultured bacterium. Its description in RNAcentral is "bacterial SSU rRNA". It matches the Rfam family "Bacterial small subunit ribosomal RNA", at positions 29 to 533 of the family's 1533-position model. The record is from RNAcentral.
AGCGAACGCUGGCGGCAGGCCUAAUACAUGCAAGUCGAACGGUCUCUUCGGAGGCAGUGGCGGACGGGUGAGUAACGCGUGGGAACGUGCCCUUUGGUACGGAACAACUGAGGGAAACUUCAGCUAAUACCGUAUGUGCCCUUCGGGGGAAAGAUUUAUCGCCAUUGGAGCGGCCCGCGUUGGAUUAGCUAGUUGGUGGGGUAAUGGCCCACCAAGGCGACGAUCCAUAGCUGGUCUGAGAGGAUGAUCAGCCACACUGGGACUGAGACACGGCCCAGACUCCUACGGGAGGCAGCAGUAGGGAAUCUUGCGCAAUGGGCGAAAGCCUGACGCAGCCAUGCCGCGUGAAUGAUGAAGGUCUUAGGAUUGUAAAAUUCUUUCACCGGGGACGAUAAUGACGGUACCCGGAGAGAACGCCCGGCUAACUUCGUGCCAGCAGCCGACGGUAAUGUCACAUGUG